This 183-nucleotide non-coding RNA is filed under the name unclassified sequences. RNAcentral's name for it is "malK-I RNA". It matches the Rfam family "malK-I RNA". The record is from RNAcentral.
UACAACGCGCAGGCAGCUCUCCACCUUUCAGCUGUCUGUGACGAAAAAAAGGAGGAAAAGGUAUAGCCCGUGGCUCGGGCUGCGGCAGUGUGGAGACCUGUCGCAAUGCGGCGCAUCCCUCCGCGGAUGGCCGUGAGCGCGCAGCAAGCGGAUGCUCUGUGCGCGGAGCCGGAAAGCAUGGCG